Molecule: ribosomal RNA, 206 nt
Filed under: uncultured bacterium
Lineage: Bacteria
Description: partial 16S ribosomal RNA
Rfam family: Bacterial small subunit ribosomal RNA
Source: RNAcentral
CGCGUAGGCGGCAAUUCAAGUCAUCUGUGAAAUCUCCGGGCUUAACUCGGAACGGUCAGAUGAUACUGCUUUGCUAGAGUGCGGAAGGGGCAAUCGGAAUUCUUGGUGUAGCGGUGAAAUGCGUAGAUAUCAAGAGGAACACCUGAGGUGAAGAGGGUUGCUGGGCCGACACUGACGCUGAGUGCGCGAAAGCCAGGGAGCAAACG